GAUGAACGCUGGCGGCGUGCCUAACACAUGCAAGUCGAACGAAGCACCUUACCUGAUUCUUCGGAUGAAAGUUUGGUGACUGAGUGGCGGACGGGUGAGUAACGCGUGGGUAACCUGCCCUGUACAGGGGGAUAACAGCUGGAAACGGCUGCUAAUACCGCAUAAGCGCACGAGGAGACAUCUCCUUGUGUGAAAAACUCCGGUGGUACAGGAUGGGCCCGCGUCUGAUUAGCUGGUUGGCAGGGUAACGGCCUACCAAGGCAACGAUCAGUAGCCGGUCAGAGAGGAUGAACGGCCACAUUGAAACUGAGACACGGUCCAAACUCCUACGGGAGGCAGCAGUGGGGAAUAUUGCAAAAUGGGGGAAACCCUGAUGCAGCAACGCCGCGUAAGUGAAGAAGUAUUUCGGUAUGUAAAGCUCUAUCAGCAGGGAAGAUAAUGACGGUACCUGACUAAGAAGCUCCGGCUAAAUACGUG
Molecule: ribosomal RNA, 477 nt
Filed under: uncultured bacterium
Lineage: Bacteria
Description: partial 16S ribosomal RNA
Rfam family: Bacterial small subunit ribosomal RNA
Source: RNAcentral